This 2040-nucleotide ribosomal RNA is filed under the name Triticum aestivum (bread wheat). RNAcentral's name for it is "partial small subunit ribosomal RNA". Lineage: Eukaryota; Viridiplantae; Streptophyta; Magnoliopsida; Poales; Poaceae. The record is from RNAcentral.
AUGAAAGGCCUCUUGAAAGGGAGAUUUUUGCCCGCUGAAUAUGACCAGAUCCUAUUUAUCCAAUUUCAAAAUUGUGCUCAAGGAAAUAGGACUGUUUCAGAUUACACGGAGGAGUUUCUAAGGCUACAAGUGAGGUGCAACCUUGCUGAAACUGAAGAGCAACAAGUUGCAAGGUACAUCAAUGGUCUCAAUGAUGCUAUUCAAGAUCGAUUGAUGAUGCAACAAAUCUGGUCCGUUGAUCAAGCACAAGCUCUAGCCUUAAAGGCAGAGAGGUUUGUGAGGAUGAGAAAGACAACUAAGGCUCCAUAUCCUCCAUAUCCUCAUACCGAAGGCUCAUCUAGGAGCCAACCUAAUAGAGUGGAAGAAAAUACCACUCCACCAAAGACAAAACAGCCCAUCCCGAAGCAAACUAGAGGCAAGGGUAAGGCAAAUGAAGGCCCAAAGUUCUAUAAAUGUGGUAAAGAGGGACACAUAUCCAGCGGCUGCCCACUAAGGGAAUUUGUUAACAUGACUAUCCAUGAUGGUGAAAGCGAUGAGGAAGAAUACGAAUCUGAAGAUGUAGACGGACAAGAGGUUUUUCAAGAAGAAGGUGAAGAGGUGGUAUGUGUGAUCCAGCGUGUCCUAUGUUCCACACCACAACUCGAUGACACACAACGGAAGAAAAUAUUUGAGAGCAAAUGCACGGUGAAUGGCAAGGUAUGCAAACUAGUGAUUGAUAGUUGCAGCUGCGAGAAUCUUAUCUCCCAGAAGUUGGUGGACCAUUUAAAGCUUGAAACCCAUGAUCAUCCAAAUCCCUACACUAUUGGAUGGAUCAAGAAAGGAGUGAAUAUGAGGAUCACCAAACAAUGCAACCUACCACUUUCUUUGGGUAAGCAUUAUCGCUCAAAUGUGUUGUGUGAUGUGGUUGACAUAGAUGCCAGCCAUGUUCUUCUUGGGAGGCCUUGGCAAUUUGAUGUGGAUACUACACACAAGGGCAAGGAAAAUUCUUACUCUUUCAUUUGGAACAAGAGAAGGAUCAUUAUCUUACCAAACAAACCCGAAGGUAAUACCUCUAAGGAGGAGGGGAAAACUAUGUUAACUAUCUCCCAUACCUCUCAUGAGUUUAUGGAAGACUUGAAGGAGGCAGAUUUGUGUGUUGCACUUGUUGUAAAGGGAGAAGAGCACCUGACUGUUGAAAUUCCAGCAAAGGUACGUGGUUUAUUGGCAGAAUUUCAGAACAUACUUGGGGAGCCACAUGGCUUGCCACCGAUGAGAGGAAUUCAACAUAGAAUUGACUUAAUUCCGGGAGCAAGUCUUCCUAAUCUUCCACACUAUCGAAUGAGCCCAAAGGAGCAUGAUAUAUUGAAGGAGAAAGUGGAGGAAUUGUUGCAAAAGGGGCACAUUCGAGAAAGUAUUAGCCCAUGUGCUGUACCAGCCCUACUCGCGCCAAAGAAAGAUGGAUCUUGGCGCAUGUGUACGGACAGUAGAGCCGUUAACAAGAUCACCGUAAGGUAUAGGUUCCCUAUUCCCCGUCUGGAUGAUAUGUUGGAUCAGCUUAGUGGAGCAAGAGUGUUCACAAAGCUAGAUUUAAGAAGUGGAUAUCAUCAAAUCCGUAUAAGACCCGGGGAUGAAUGGAAGACCGCCUUCAAGACAAAGGAAGGGUUAUUUCAAUGGCUAGUCAUGCCAUUUGGACUCUCAAAUGCACCAAGUACCUUUAUGCACUUAAUGAAUCAAGUCCUUAGACCCUUCUUAUCCCACUUUGUUGUGGUCUAUUUCGAUGACAUCUUGAUCUAUAGCAAGGAUGAGGAUGAACACUUUGAUCACAUUCGGAAGGUGCUAGAAGUACUAAGGGAAAAUGAGCUCUACGUCAACUUGAAGAAAUGUGUUUUCCAAGGAUGUAGUCAAACGUCUUCACGAUCCAACCGAUCUAGUACCGAACGUACGACACCUCCGAGUUCAGUACACGUUCAGCUCGAUGACGUCCCUCGAACUCUUGAUCCAAAGAGGGUCGAGGGAGAGUUUCGUCAGCACGACGGCGUGGCGACGGUGAUGGUGAUGUGA